Molecule: non-coding RNA, 420 nt
Organism: Pristis pectinata (smalltooth sawfish)
Lineage: Eukaryota; Metazoa; Chordata; Chondrichthyes; Rhinopristiformes; Pristidae
Source: the annotation of a RefSeq genome assembly
AUGGAAGGGGGCGGGUAUACAGCCUAUCCUGGUCGAACAACGAAGACGCCGCUGCCAGACAAGUUCACCAGCGCUUCUACCUCCUCAGGAGAUGCGACUUCGGUGACGAUCCGCCAGGUCCCGGCGUUCUCCGGAUCUACCGGCCAGACUGUGACGCUGGAUUGUUCCAUAGAAGGGAGCAGCAACGCUGCGGAUAGGUUGUUCUGGUACAGGCAAUCUCCGGGAAAGGGGCUUGAGAACCUGUUUUCCUCCAUAGUAGCCAAGACCGUGCAGCCAGAGCGAGCGGUGGACGGAUUUACCGCAGAUAGACCGAGUGACUAUGACUUCAAGCUGAGGUCCACCGGCCUGGAGGCGAAUUCGUCGGCCGUGUAUUUCUGCGCCUGGAGUGAUCACAGCGACUCAGACAGACGGAGGAGCUGA